RNAcentral lists this ribosomal RNA (379 nucleotides) under Anophryoides haemophila. RNAcentral describes it as "partial Bacterial large subunit ribosomal RNA". It matches the Rfam family "Bacterial large subunit ribosomal RNA", at positions 46 to 465 of the family's 2925-position model. The record is from RNAcentral. Lineage: Eukaryota; Ciliophora; Oligohymenophorea; Philasterida; Glauconematidae.
GCGACGAAGGACGUGUAAGCCUGCGAAAAGCGUGGGGGAGCUGGCAAUAAAGCUAUGAUCCCGCGGUGUCCGAAUGGGGAAACCCACCUCUUAGGAGGUAUCCUUAUCUGAAUACAUAGGAUAAGCGAAGCGAACCCGGAGAACUGAACCAUCUAAGUACCCGGAGGAAAAGAAAUCAACCGAGAUUCCGCAAGUAGUGGCGAGCGAACGCGGAGGAGCCUGUACGUGAUAACUGUCGAGAUAGAAGAACAAGCUGGGAAGCUUGACCAUAGUGGGUGAUAGUCCCGUAUUCGAAAUCUCAAUAGUGGUACUAAGCGUACGAAAAGUAGGGCGGGACACGUGAAAUCCUGUCUGAAUAUGGGGGGACCAUCCUCCAAGG